AGAGUUUGAUCCUGGCUCAGGAUGAACGCUAGCGACAGGCUUAACACAUGCAAGUCGAGGGGCAGCGGGGGAGCAGCAAUGCUCCCGCCGGCGACCGGCGCACGGGUGAGUAACACGUAUGGAACCUGCCCGCAGCAGGGGGAUAAGCGGAAGAAAUUCCGUCUAAUACCGCGUAACACCGCGGAGGGGCAUCCCUCGGCGGUUAAAGAUUCAUCGGCUGCGGAUGGCCAUGCGGCGCAUUAGCUAGUCGGCGGGGUAACGGCCCACCGAGGCGACGAUGCGUAGGGGUUCUGAGAGGAAGGUCCCCCACACUGGUACUGAGACACGGACCAGACUCCUACGGGAGGCAGCAGUGAGGAAUAUUGGUCAAUGGCCGGGAGGCUGAACCAGCCAAGUCGCGUGAGGGAAGACGGCCCUAAGGGUUGUAAACCUCUUUUGUCAGGGAGCAAGAGGCGGGUCGGGACCUGCUGUGAGAGUACCCGAAGAAAAAGCAUCGGCUAACUCCGUGCCAGCAGCCGCGGUAAUACGGAGGAUGCGAGCGUUAUCCGGAUUUAUUGGGUUUAAAGGGUGCGCAGGCGGAGGCACAAGUCAGCGGUAAAAUCGCGGGGCUCAACCCCGCUCAGCCGUUGAAACUGUGUCCCUUGAGUGCGCGAAGGGUAGGCGGAAUGCGUGGUGUAGCGGUGAAAUGCAUAGAUAUCACGCAGAACUCCGAUCGCGAAGGCAGCCUACCGGCGCGCAACUGACGCUCAUGCACGAAAGCGUGGGUAUCGAACAGGAUUAGAUACCCUGGUAGUCCACGCAGUAAACGAUGAAUGCUAUCUGUCCGGCCGGAAUGACGGCUGGGUGGCACAGCGAAAGCGUUAAGCAUUCCACCUGGGGAGUACGCCGGCAACGGUGAAACUCAAAGGAAUUGACGGGGGCCCGCACAAGCGGAGGAACAUGUGGUUUAAUUCGAUGAUACGCGAGGAACCUUACCCGGGCUCAAACGACACAGGGAUGCCGCCGAAAGGUGGCAGUCCUUCGGGACCUGUGUCGAGGUGCUGCAUGGUUGUCGUCAGCUCGUGCCGUGAGGUGUCGGCUUAAGUGCCAUAACGAGCGCAACCCCCAUCUUCAGUUGCCAUCAGGUAGAGCUGGGCACUCUGGAGAGACUGCCGGCGCAAGCUGCGAGGAAGGCGGGGAUGACGUCAAAUCAGCACGGCCCUUACGUCCGGGGCGACACACGUGUUACAAUGGCAGGUACAGCGGGAAGCCAGGCGGCGACGCCGAGCGGAACCCGAAAACCUGUCUCAGUUCGGAUCGGAGUCUGCAACCCGACUCCGUGAAGCUGGAUUCGCUAGUAAUCGCGCAUCAGCCAUGGCGCGGUGAAUACAAUCCCGGGCCUUGCACACACCGCCCGUCA
This 1399-nucleotide ribosomal RNA is filed under the name uncultured bacterium. RNAcentral describes it as "16S ribosomal RNA". It matches the Rfam family "Bacterial small subunit ribosomal RNA". The record is from RNAcentral.